RNAcentral lists this ribosomal RNA (253 nucleotides) under uncultured bacterium. RNAcentral describes it as "partial 16S ribosomal RNA". It matches the Rfam family "Bacterial small subunit ribosomal RNA", at positions 524 to 776 of the family's 1533-position model. The record is from RNAcentral.
UACGUAGGGUGCAAGCGUUGUCCGGAAUCAUUGGGCGUAAAGCGCGCGUAGGUGGCUUCGUAAGUCCGUUGUGAAAGUCAAAGGCUCAACCUUUGAAUGCCGAUGGAUACUGCGAAGCUAGAGUACGGAAGAGGCGAGUGGAAUUCCUGGUGUAGCGGUGGAAUGCGCAGAUAUCAGGAGGAACACCAAUAGCGAAGGCAGCUCGCUGGGACGUUACUGACGCUGAGGCGCGAAAGCGUGGGGAGCAAACAGG